Molecule: ribosomal RNA, 977 nt
Filed under: uncultured bacterium
Lineage: Bacteria
Description: bacterial SSU rRNA
Rfam family: Bacterial small subunit ribosomal RNA
Source: RNAcentral
GGAAGCUUUCGGGUGGAAUGAACUUAACUUAGCGGCGGACGGGUGAGUAACGCGUGGACAACCUACCCUGUACAGGGGGAUAACAAUGGGAAACCAUUGCUAAUACCCCAUAACACCUUUUAGGGGCAUCCCUUUAAGGUCAAAGAAUUUCGGUACAGGAUGGGUCCGCGUCUGAUUAGCUAGUUGGUGAGGUAAUGGCUCACCAAGGCGACGAUCAGUAGCCGGCCUGAGAGGGUGAACGGCCACACUGGAACUGAGACACGGUCCAGACUCCUACGGGAGGCAGCAGUGGGGAAUAUUGCACAAUGGGCGAAAGCCUGAUGCAGCAACGCCGCGUGAGCGAUGAAGGCUUUCGGGUCGUAAAGCUCUGUCCUAAGGGAAGAUAAUGACGGUACCUUAGGAGGAAGCCCCGGCUAACUACGUGCCAGCAGCCGCGGUAAUACGUAGGGGGCAAGCGUUAUCCGGAAUCAUUGGGCGUAAAGGGUGCGUAGGCGGCCCUAUAGGUCAGAGGUCAAAGGCUACGGCUCAACCGUAGUAAGCCUUUGAAACUGUAGGGCUUGAGUGCAGGAGAGGAGAGUGGAAUUCCUAGUGUAGCGGUGAAAUGCGUAGAUAUUAGGAGGAACACCAGUGGCGAAGGCGACUCUCUGGACUGCAACUGACGCUGAGGCACGAAAGCGUGGGGAGCGAACAGGAUUAGAUACCCUGGUAGUCCACGCCGUAAACGAUGAGUGCUAGGUGUCGGGGGUCGAACCUCGGUGCCGCAGCUAACGCAUUAAGCACUCCGCCUGGGGAGUACGUUCGCAAGAAUGAAACUCAAAGGAAUUGACGGGGACCCGCACAAGCAGCGGAGCAUGUGGUUUAAUUCGAAGCAACGCGAAGAACCUUACCUGGACUUGACAUCCCUCGGACCGCUUUUUAACCAAAGCCUUCCCUUCGGGGACUGAGGUGACAGGUGGUGCAUGGUUGUCGUCAGCUCG